This 68-nucleotide transfer RNA is filed under the name Bos taurus (domestic cattle). It matches the Rfam family "tRNA". From Rfam's summary of the family: Transfer RNA (tRNA) molecules are approximately 80 nucleotides in length. Their secondary structure includes four short double-helical elements and three loops (D, anti-codon, and T loops). Lineage: Eukaryota; Metazoa; Chordata; Mammalia; Artiodactyla; Bovidae. RNAcentral also lists the same sequence under 5 other names. The record is from Rfam by way of RNAcentral.
CCAGAGGCUUAGUUGGUAAAGAAUCUGCCUGCAAUGCAGGAGACCUGGGUUCGAUCCCUGGGUCAGGA